Molecule: ribosomal RNA, 253 nt
Filed under: uncultured bacterium
Lineage: Bacteria
Description: partial 16S ribosomal RNA
Rfam family: Bacterial small subunit ribosomal RNA
Source: RNAcentral
UACGUAGGGCGCAAGCGUUGUUCGGAAUCAUUGGGCGUAAAGGGCGUGUAGGUGGUUCUGUAUGUCUACCGUGAAAGCGUACGGCUCAACCGUAUUUAGUCGGUAGAAACUGCAGGACUUGAGGCUGGGAGGGGCUGGUGGAAUUCCCCGUGUAGCGGUGAAAUGCGUAGAGAUGGGGGAGAACACUCGUGGCGAAGGCGGCCAGCUAGACCAGUUCUGACACUGAGGCGCGACAGCGUGGGGAGCAAACAGG